AACCUUUACACUGCACGCCAGUGCGAUAAGGGGACUCCAAGUGCGAGGGCAUAUAGUCCUCGCUUUUCUGGACCGUAAGGAGGUCCAGGAACAAGGGCUGGGCAAGACCGGUGCCAGCCGCCGCGGUAAUACCGGCAGCCCAAGUGAUGGCCGCUCUUAUUGGGCCUAAAGCGUCCGUAGCUGGCCAGGCAAGUCCGUCGGGAAAUCCGCGUGCCCAACACGCGGGCGUCCGGUGGAAACUGCCUGGCUUGGGACCGGAAGACCUGAGGGGUACGUCCGGGGUAGGAGUGAAAUCCCGUAAUCCUGGACGGACCACCGGUGGCGAAAGCGCCUCAGGAAGACGGAUCCGACGGUGAGGGACGAAAGCUCGGGUCACGAACCGGAUUAGAUACCCGGGUAGUCCGAGCUGUAAACGAUGUCUGCUAGGUGUGACACAGGCUACGAGCCUGUGUUGUGCCGUAGGGAAGCCGUGAAGCAGACCGCCUGGGAAGUACGUCCGCAAGGAUGAAACUUAA
RNAcentral lists this ribosomal RNA (515 nucleotides) under uncultured archaeon. RNAcentral describes it as "bacterial SSU rRNA". It matches the Rfam family "Archaeal small subunit ribosomal RNA", at positions 345 to 859 of the family's 1478-position model. The record is from RNAcentral.